This 76-nucleotide transfer RNA is filed under the name Dehalococcoidia bacterium. RNAcentral's name for it is "tRNA-Pro". It matches the Rfam family "tRNA". Rfam says of the family: Transfer RNA (tRNA) molecules are approximately 80 nucleotides in length. Their secondary structure includes four short double-helical elements and three loops (D, anti-codon, and T loops). Further hydrogen bonds mediate the characteristic L-shaped molecular structure. tRNAs have two regions of fundamental functional importance: the anti-codon, which is responsible for specific mRNA codon recognition, and the 3' end, to which the tRNAs corresponding amino acid is attached (by aminoacyl-tRNA synthetases). tRNAs cope with the degeneracy of the genetic code in two manners: having more than one tRNA (with a specific anti-codon) for a particular amino acid; and 'wobble' base-pairing, i.e. permitting non-standard base-pairing at the 3rd anti-codon position. The record is from RNAcentral. Lineage: Bacteria; Bacillati; Chloroflexota; Dehalococcoidia.
CAGGGCGUAGCGCAGUGGCUAGGGCGCUUCGUUCGGGACGAAGAGGCCUGUGGUUCGAGUCCACUCACCCCGACCA